Molecule: ribosomal RNA, 109 nt
Filed under: Aurelia sp. 9 sensu Dawson et al. (2005)
Lineage: Eukaryota; Metazoa; Cnidaria; Scyphozoa; Semaeostomeae; Ulmaridae
Description: partial 5.8S ribosomal RNA
Rfam family: 5.8S ribosomal RNA
About the family: 5.8S ribosomal RNA (5.8S rRNA) is a component of the large subunit of the eukaryotic ribosome. It is transcribed by RNA polymerase I as part of the 45S precursor that also contains 18S and 28S rRNA.
Source: RNAcentral
GACUUCUAACGGUGGAUCUCUUGGCUCGUGCAUCGAUGAAGAACGCAGCCAGCUGCGAUAAGUAGUGUGAAUUGCAGAACUCAGCGAAUCAUCGAAUCUUUGAACGCAA